RNAcentral lists this ribosomal RNA (492 nucleotides) under uncultured bacterium. RNAcentral's name for it is "partial 16S ribosomal RNA". It matches the Rfam family "Bacterial small subunit ribosomal RNA", at positions 29 to 507 of the family's 1533-position model. The record is from RNAcentral.
AUUGAACGCUGGCGGCAUGCUUUACACAUGCAAGUCGAGCGGUAACAGGCCUUCGGGUGCUGACGAGUGGCGAACGGGUGAGUAAUGCAUCGGAACGUACCCAGAGGUGGGGGAUAACGCAGCGAAAGCUGUGCUAAUACCGCAUGUGAUCUGAGGAUGAAAGCGGGGGACCGAGCAGCAAUGUUUGGCCUCGCGCCUUUGGAGCGGCCGAUGUCGGAUUAGCUAGUUGGUGGGGUAAAGGCCUACCAAGGCGACGAUCCGUAGCUGGUCUGAGAGGACGACCAGCCACACUGGGACUGAGACACGGCCCAGACUCCUACGGGAGGCGGCAGUGGGGAAUUUUGGACAAUGGGCGCAAGCCUGAUCCAGCAAUGCCGCGUGCGGGAAGAAGGCCUUCGGGUUGUAAACCGCUUUUGGCAGGAACGAAACGGUGUCCGCUAAUACCGGGCGCUAAUGACGGUACCUGCAGAAUAAGCACCGGCUAACUACGUG